AACGAACGCUGGCGGCAUGCCUAACACAUGCAAGUCGAACGAGACCUUCGGGUCUAGUGGCGCACGUGUGCGUAACGCGUGGGAAUCUGCCCUUGGGUUCGGAAUAACAGUGAGAAAUUACUGCUAAUACCGGAUGAUGUCUUCGGACCAAAGAUUUAUCGCCCAGGGAUGAGCCCGCGUAGGAUUAGCUAGUUGGUGGGGUAAUGGCCUACCAAGGCGACGAUCCUUAGCUGGUCUGAGAGGAUGAUCAGCCACACUGGGAAUGAGACACGGCCCAGACUCCUACGGGAGGCAGCAGUGGGGAAUAUUGGACGAUGGGCGCAAGCCUGAUCCAGCAAUGCCGCGUGAGUGAUGAAGGCCUUAGGGUUGUAAAGCUCUUUUACCCGGGAUGAUAAUGACAGUACCGGGAGAAUAAGCUCCGGCUAACUCCGUG
RNAcentral lists this ribosomal RNA (433 nucleotides) under uncultured bacterium. RNAcentral's name for it is "partial 16S ribosomal RNA". It matches the Rfam family "Bacterial small subunit ribosomal RNA", at positions 29 to 507 of the family's 1533-position model. The record is from RNAcentral.